AAAAUGGAAAAGAUCCUGAAGUUGAGGCUUGUAGAUUUCAACUAUGGCUAGCCAUUCGUAUAGAUUGGCUGUGGGAGGGCCAAAUCUACCAUUGACACUUCCAGAUGCUAGGAUACUGGGAAGAGCUUGGGCCUGGAUUCGGAUGGACCUGAUUCAAAUUCCCAUGCGGCUACUUAUUAUAAGGAAUCUUCCUGGCUAAAAAAACCCAUAAAAGUGGAAAACUCAAACUCCACAGUGCGAAUAUCUCUUGAGUCUGCCUGCACUACCCUUUCUUGAGUGUGUAUUGAUAAGACUUCAAAUGACAUUUUAAGAAAUUUAAAUUUCAACCUGAAGUCAAUAAGGACACAUCAGAAGUUUUCAAAGGAAGGAUGGAGUCUGUUGAAAGAACCGGUUGGUAAAAUGAGAAUAAAUGGAUUGAAGGAGACCCAAGUGACCACCUGGUAAUUACUUCAACAGCAGAGCGACUCAUACAGCCAGCAAUCCACUUUGUUGUGAUCUGUAGAUCCUGCCUGUGGUGUUGGAUCUAACAGCUUCUUCCCUGACCCAAGAUUAUGAAGGAUUUCUCCUGUGUUCUCUUCUAAAAAUUUUACAUUUAGGUCCUGGGCUUUCUCUGCUAGAAGAGGCUGAAUCCCUGGAGUACCUAGAGUAGAGAGCUGGAUAGAAAUCUAGAAGUGGAAUUGCUGAGCUGUAGAGUAUGUGAAUCUCUACAACUUUCAACUUUGCCAUGUAUUGUCAAAUUGCUCUCCAAAGUGAUGGUACCAAUUAAUGAUACUACCAAUAAGGAUCUCAACAGGACAAACACAAAGAAAAUAUCAAGGUGCAUCAUAGACAAAUUAUUGAAAAUCAGCAAUAAGGAGAAAACCUUAAAAACAGCAAGAUAAAAAGAUGCAUUAUGUGUAAAAUUAAAAAAGAAAACAAUGAUUGCUGAGUUCUCAUCAUACCAAUGCACAAAAGACAACAGAACAAUAUCUUUAAUGUGUGAAAAGUAAGAAAAAAA
Molecule: long non-coding RNA, 997 nt
Filed under: Pongo abelii (Sumatran orangutan)
Lineage: Eukaryota; Metazoa; Chordata; Mammalia; Primates; Hominidae
Description: lincRNA
Source: RNAcentral